This 1252-nucleotide unclassified non-coding RNA is filed under the name Hevea brasiliensis (rubber tree). The record is from RNAcentral. Lineage: Eukaryota; Viridiplantae; Streptophyta; Magnoliopsida; Malpighiales; Euphorbiaceae.
GCAUGAAACUCUUGAUAAAAAGAGUGCCGAAAGACUCGAGCAUAAGCCACCAGAUAAUAUGAAACUAUAGCAGCAGGUCUCCGUUUUAUUUAAAAGUAAGCAAGAGAGCCUGCAUCUGUUAUCCAGAUUCAGUUGGGAGGAGGGAAGAAGAUCUCAUCUGAGGUCCUCUUCGACCUGAAGAGCUUCUCCAUGUCUGGGGUGGUGUUGAAGGCAGCCACCAAUACUUCCGGAGAGAUUGCCUUCCACACUGAAGUCUUUCCCGCCAGAUGACUGAAUAUGGGGUUGGGGGUGGUGAUGAUAGAAAACCACUCCAUCCCGGUGGAGUCAGCAAUCUUAGACACAACGAAGAAUCUGGGGACGAUAAAAAGAUAGCCACCUUUCACUGUGGUCUCAAGAACCCGCUUGCCAUCGAUACCAACAACCUGAACCCUGCCACUCCCCCUUACAAUGUAAGUGACCUGGAAAGCAGAGUCACAUGAGAAGCCUGGAGAGCACAUGGCACCACCAUCCAGCCUCACCAAGUCAGCCCCAAGGCCAACCUCCCCAACAAGGGGGAGAUUCUUGGUAUUGAGCACCACAACACGUCCCCCCUGCUUGAUGUCAACAUCCAGAGGCGCUUCCUCACAGUUCAGGGCCAUUCCCUCUCGGUCCUUGGGAUUGGGCUCAGGCAUGCCGAGGCCUUCCUUGAGCUUGAUAAUGCCAGAACUGCUCUGGCUUCCGACAAGAUUCUUAGCUUCAUCCUCCUUGAGGUCCCAGGCACGGCCGACAAACUCAGUGGAGAAUCCAGUAAAGAUGCCACUGGAACCAGUGACCUGGAAGUUAGUGAACUGGCCACAUUUGUGAGCCUUUGAGGUCUCACCGAGAAAGAGGACCACAAGUUCGGAAUCAUUGGGGUUGUACCACCAGGUUAGAACACCAAAGGGGAGGGCUAGAGCAUCACCCUUCUUGAUGGCCACCACCUUCUCUUUAGUGGCCUCUGGGAGCACAAUCCCACAUGUUCCACUUCCUUGGAGGACGUAGGCGACCUUGCUGCAGUCGGAGUAGGCCGGGAGGGCGAGUCCGCGCUUUUCGAGGAUGAGCUUGGCGGCGCCGAUGCCCGCCUGGCGAAGCAUGGGAAGCUCAUCGGGGCACCACGCGAGGUAGGAGCCGCCGUCGCACUCGAUCGACUUCUUUGGAAGCUUGGGGGAGAGAUCGAUUUCCAUCGCCGCCGGUGAUCGGAGAAUCAGAGAAAUGGGGAUUCAAGGGAAAGUGA